AUACGGAGGAUCCGAGCGUUAUCCGGAUUUAUUGGGUUUAAAGGGUGCGCAGGCGGGGGAUUAAGUCGGCGGUGAAAUUUUGCAGCUCAACUGUAAAAGUGCCUUCGAAACUGGGUUCCUUGGGUGGAGAUGAAGUAGGCGGGAUUUGUGGUGUAGCGGUGAAAUGCAUAGAUAUCACGAGGAACUCCGAUUGCGCAGGCAGCUUACUAAACUACUACUGACGCUCAGGCACGAAGGCGUGGGGAUCAAACAGGAUUAGAUACCCUGGUAGUCCACGCAGUAAACGAUGAUUACUAGCUGUUUGCGAUACAAUGUAAGCGGCUGAGCGAAAGCGUUAAGUAAUCCACCUGGGGAGUACGUUCGCAAGAAUGAAACUCAAAUGAAUUGGCGGGG
This 393-nucleotide ribosomal RNA is filed under the name uncultured bacterium. RNAcentral's name for it is "partial 16S ribosomal RNA". It matches the Rfam family "Bacterial small subunit ribosomal RNA", at positions 523 to 918 of the family's 1533-position model. The record is from RNAcentral.